UAAAUGUUAGCUAGGGGUGUAACGGUGCAUGUAUUUGUAUUGAACCAUUUCGGUACGGGACGUUCGGUUCAGUACAGGGCUGUUCACGGGUGAGUUUGCGUUGGGUGUGUUUACAUUCGGUGUUGCCAACUUAGCGACUUUCUCGCCAAGUCUGGCAACUGUCCAAACUCUCUUGAUGACUUAUUUUCUCAAAGGCGACUAGCAAUAAAUCUAACUACUUUUCCUGGAGUUACUGGAGACUUUUCUGAUGUUUGGCGACUGAAAGUGAAAGUUUCUGUUGUCACCGAGUGGCAGUGGGUCUCCUCCUCCUCCGCUGCCUGCAGCAGCCUGA
Long non-coding RNA from Thalassophryne amazonica, 331 nucleotides. RefSeq lists it as uncharacterized. Lineage: Eukaryota; Metazoa; Chordata; Actinopteri; Batrachoidiformes; Batrachoididae. The record is from RefSeq and is a predicted model, not a curated record. The transcript is spliced from 3 exons.